GACAGAGAUUCUCAGCUUCGGCCGCCUAUUUCCUUGCAUCGUCGCCGAUUCCUGCACUCGGCCGCCUAUUUCCUUGCCUCGUCGUCGAUUCCCGUCCACAGCCGCCGCAUUCCCCUGAGAUUGCGAUCUAACAGUUAGCUGCCAUAUCCAAGCCGGAGCUGCCGGUCAGAAUCACCACCACAAAUACCUUUGGCAGCCAUUAUUAUCCUUUCAAGACCAAACCAUAUCUCUUCUUACGCCUCAUCGAAGAAUCAGUAGAUAUCUAAGAAGCAGCCACAGAGAGAGAAAAGAAAGAGAUAAGCUUUUACGGUUAGUUUGCUAUACUCUUACUUUUAUUUUUGCACCAUGGUUCAAGUGGCAACCAUGGUUAUGUAAAUACCACAGACAAGCAUGUAUCUAGGUAGUAGAUUAUGUAAAUACCAUAGAUAAGCAUGUAUCUAGGUAGUGGAUAUGGAGAAUAGGUUGGGGAAUGGCUCGUUCCAUUCCAUUUGUUGUUGUGGCGAUGGCUUGGAGCCGAUUAUGUGCUAUAUGUGCUAUAUGUAACGUAGGGUAUGUGAAAAUUAUUAAGUUUUUUUCAAUUAAAAUGAUUAUGUUAUAUUAUACUUGUUGGUAACUAUUUAUUUAUUCUUUUAGUUGGCAUUGGGUCAUCAUGAUGGUUUAUCCCCAUAAGGAGACAAUAUAUGUGUUGGAUCCAUUGACUGACAGUUGUCAUGUUGAGGAGUGGAAGAGCAUUAUGACGACAGCCAUAAAAAUGUUCAACAUGAGCAUAGGAAUAAGGGGGAGACAGAAUCUUUUGUGGGAAGUGAUCGAUAGUCCACAACAACCUGAUGGGAAACAGUGUGGAUUCUAUGUUAUGCGAUACAUGAGAGAUGUUAUUGAUAAUAUUGUAUCUGAUCACUCUCUCCCAAUAAUUACACUGUUUGCAGGAGGAUGCUACUCCAAAAAGGAAAUUGAUGAAGUAAGGAUAGAGUGGGCAGAAUUUGUAUGUAAAAUCACAUAUGAGUGAUGAUGGAUGGUGUAACUUGCUUGUUUUCGGUGUUUGCAGUUAUGUUUCAAUUAGUAGGAUGAUGAUGUUUGGAUUCUAAUGUAAUGUAGGACUAGGAUGAUGAUGUUUCGAUUCUAAUGUAAUGUAGGGAUGAUGAUGUUGGAUUGUAUUGUAAUGUAGAAUGAUGAUGAUGGAUUAUAAUGUAUGAAUUUUAUUAUUAA
Molecule: long non-coding RNA, 1206 nt
Organism: Salvia miltiorrhiza (redroot sage)
Lineage: Eukaryota; Viridiplantae; Streptophyta; Magnoliopsida; Lamiales; Lamiaceae
Exons: 6
Source: RefSeq, a predicted model, not a curated record